GGUUCUACUGAUUGAAGUCAUCCUGUCUUGUGACUCAUGCAUGGCACAUGUAUUAAGUCAAAUUGGAAUCCACUAAAAUAAGUCACCUGGGAAAAAAUUCUGAUCUUAUUCUAGAUAAAGAAUGAAAAGCCAGGAAGCUACAUAACCCAAGGGUCCCCAGUUUGAAAUGUCUUGUUACUGCUGACAAGACCUGCAUGACUGACCAUUUGCUCCCUAAGAGAUGAAACUGACAUCACUUUGAAGUUCAAAAUGACACUGCCAAAACAAGAAAUGGAAAAUAACUGCAGCACGUUUAUGACAUUGGUUUCUUUCUCCACAUGAAACAUACAAUGAGAACACUUUGUAGAUGAAUUGUGCCUUCAAUUGAAUACAGGAUGGUGGACUAGCUUGGGUUUUAUGGAAUUGGAUAAUUUGUCAUAGUUUCUGCCCCUGGAAAAAUGAUAACCCAAAGGAAAACAGGUGGAAAAACUUUUAAAAAUAGUUAUACAAUACACAGCUGAUAUUUUUGGUUCAUAGAAUACUUUAAAGGACUUAAUUUACAAAGCAAAUUACUAAAUUAUAAGAAAUGCUGUCAUCAUCAAUAAACAUUCACAGAGCUUCAGGUUUUAACACAAA
This is a long non-coding RNA of Rhinopithecus roxellana (golden snub-nosed monkey), 615 nucleotides long. RefSeq lists it as uncharacterized. The record is from RefSeq and is a predicted model, not a curated record. The transcript is spliced from 4 exons. NCBI's taxonomy places the organism in Eukaryota, Metazoa, Chordata, Mammalia, Primates, Cercopithecidae.